Podarcis lilfordi (Lilford's wall lizard) is the source of this 75-nucleotide non-coding RNA. The record is from the annotation of a GenBank genome assembly. NCBI's taxonomy places the organism in Eukaryota, Metazoa, Chordata, Lepidosauria, Squamata, Lacertidae.
GGAAAGGAUGUAGCUCAGUGGUAGAGCAUUUGCUUUGCAUGCAGAAUGUCCCAGGUUCAGCCCCUGGCAUCUCUU